Molecule: unclassified non-coding RNA, 3509 nt
Filed under: Leishmania donovani
Lineage: Eukaryota; Euglenozoa; Kinetoplastea; Trypanosomatida; Trypanosomatidae
Description: gene:LdHU3.11.0660(CDS-product:protein_kinase_put ative)
Source: RNAcentral
ACGUCUUUUUCCUCUCUGCACCCUUUCAGAGACGAAAACAAAAAGAAGAAAAAGGUGUGAAAAAGCAUCAACUGAUUCUCUUGUUGUUUUCUUUUUUUUAUUCGUGUCUGUGUGUAUGCUCAGCCCUCCUCCUCUGCUGUUUUUCUUUUUUCGUACAUCCGCACAGACGCUUGAGUUUACAUUGAUGGCACUACAUUCGCCCAAGUCUAUCUUGCUUUCUUCUCGCGUGCUUGAUUUCUUUCCUGGUCUCACCGAAUGUGAAGCAAGGGUGGUGGAGCGAAGGAAACGUCUACACAAAUAGGUGCAAACAAGCGAGAUAGUGACAGGGCUGGAUGGGCCACCAUGUCGAUUGCCUUUGUAGGAGUUUCUGCGGUGCCGCCCUUGGAGAGGCAGAAGCAGAGGCUGGCAAACAUGGACCCCUCUGUGUACGCGGUCUUCGAGGAGUGCCGGUACAAAAGUCUGCUUGCCAUCUGCCAUCUGGCCCGAAUCAUAGAUGCUGCCAUGCGUGGGCUUGACGAAUCGACACAAGUGCCCGCUUCACAGCCGUGCGAAGACACAAGCCACCACGAUUGUGCCCUUCGGAGCGCAGCGAAUGCAGACAGGGAGGAGCCUGUCGGACGUCCAAUAGCGGAUCCCACCAUCAGCCGUGGUAGCAAUGAAGAUCUACCCCUCUUCAUACCUUUGAUGGACGACAAUUCGGACGUCUCAUUCUGCUCCAUGUUGCACGUAGAGGCGGAGAGUAGCUCCAACGCAAGUGGUCUGGGGUACUUGUCCGAGAACGCCGCGAAGGAGCGAAGCAAGCAGAGCACAGACAUGAAAGCCACCUCUCACGCCGCUCUCGGAAACAGGGAGCGUGACGUUGCCCUUUUUCCCCACCUCAACGGCCACUGGGAAUGCGGCAUCUUUGGCGGGAAACGGGUGUACAUCGAUACUGGUGGCUUGUACCUCGGCCGCGGUGCGACCGCGUUGGUUUACGAGGGGUGGAUGGUUGUCACGGACGCGAUGGACGGCAGCGAGGUGUGCCUCGCCAAGGUUCCGGUCGCAAUCAAGGAGGUCACUUACAAUGCGAAAGAUAGAAGGCUGCACGACUUGUACGAGCUGGCGGUGAAUCUGCGCUUGAAUAUGGUGCAUCCUGGAAUAGUGCACAGCUACUACGCAGGCACGUACAUGCCACGCCUAGCUGGCUUCCGCAGUGCAGAGAAGGCGAUGGUGUACGCGCACCUAGUGUUGGCGCGCAGUGUCACAGGGAGUGUUGCAGAUGUGCUGAAGCGCAGUGGUCCAUUUCCAGAGUCGGAAAUCAAGCGGUGCAUGGCGGAGAUAUUGUCGGCGCUCCAGUGCAUUCACGAGGACCACAACUGCGUUCACAACGACGUAAAACCGCACAACAUUCUCAUCUUCGACGACUCUAGUGCCUACUACGCUGAGUUCAAGUAUCAAAUCAUUGACUUGACCGAUAUUGCCCCGGCUACACCCAUCGAAGACGUUCUGCGGGAUCUUGCCGCCGAAAGGAAACAGCAACAGAAUAUUUUCUCGGAGAGGGGUACGGUUAUGUACAUGUCCCCAGAGAGCUGCCUGGGGCUGGGGACACUGACAAGCAACGAUGUAUGGUCGCUCGGCAUCACGGCGUUCCACAUGGCAACGGGAACGUUGCCUUGGAGGCCACUGGAGCGGCAGUAUCCCAGUAUGAUCCUGAACGGGUACCGUCGAAAGUUCACAUUGCGGAGUCUAGUUGACAUGCAUGUCAACGACGCAUUUGGAGCUUCUGGUUCUUGUUACCCGACUGGAACGGACAACCCUCUGCAUGCUGACAGCGACGGUAAGCCGCGUGCCAGAUUUCACGCCAGCAGUGCACCUGGCUCGAGGGCCACCGGUGGGGCCAGUUGCACAAGCCAAGUGUUCCGCGACCAGUACAAGGGCUUUGGGCCAAUCCUUGACAUGCUGGACGAGGUGAGCGUCUCAAGUGAAUUCCGUAGCUUUUUGGAGCAGUGUCUCACUGAGAACCCAGUCAAGCGCCCAACAUGCCGCCAACUGAGAAGCCAUCCAUUUGUGAAGGACGUGACGGUGGCGUCGCAACACUGACGUCUUCCCAUGGCUGUGCACGCGCACUGCCGUUGAGCAUUUCCCUUUUCUUUUUCUCUUUUCCUUUGCAGGCCCUCUUUGCUCUAUAUUCGUUUUUCAUUUUUUUAAUUGUUUCUCAAAGGUACUGUCCUCUCUGAGUCUUUCUUCAUCCCCCCACGUCGCCGCGCCACUCAUCUCUGCCGUUUCCCGUCUCCAAUGGUGAGCCGACGCGCACGUAUCUCUCGUUUUGGAGGUUAACUGCCCUCGUAGAGUUAUACAAGGGAGAGCAAAGGGUGCGAGGGACGUGAGUGACACUGAUUGCUCACCCCGCGUCGGCCGCGCAGAUGGCGCACUGAGGUUAUCUGUUGGGCUCGCUCGGCGGCUUGUACGGCCGUGGAGUACCGCUGAUGAUUGUCAGUCUCCGAGUGCGCAACAGCCAUUUGAGCUGACUGGCAACGUGGUUAAAACGGGAGUGGGGUGCCGCUCGUUGCUAGUCCUUUACGACUGCACCUGCGGUACCUCUUUUUCAUUUCCUUUCUAGCGGUGGGCAUGAAUGCUCUGCAAUUAUACUCGUCGCAGAUAUGAUUUCUUAAAAGGGAGAAGCAAUGAAGUUUUGGACAGCCAAAAUCGGUUGCGUGCGUGGCUUGUGCGACAUUUAGAGGGGGAUGCAGCGAAAAGGGGGAGAGGAUUGAAGUCAAUGCACCCACUUGCGCCGGUCAUUUGUUUUUUUUAUUGUUUGGCUUUGCUUAUGCGUGUGUGUAUUCUUCAUCCGCGCCUCACUAUUCCCCCUUCCCUCAACGCAUGAACUUUAUAACCUGCUCGUUUUUCUUCUCGUCUUUUUUCGUGUGCGCCCUAAUGCUGGGGGGGGGGUAUCUCCGUGCGUGGCAUCUCAGGGUCCACCGCGCACCUUCUCUUUUGGGAGGCCGAGCAGCCCCCCCUCCCCCUUCCCUCUCGCUCUAUCCUUGCCAGUGCUGAACAGCCCCUGGUGGUGACAGGGCCAAGCAUCUAUGGCGUAGGGGUGGCCAGAGCGAUGUAUCCCCACGGAUGCCGGCGGCCGGGCCCUGGAUGGCGCUGCGUCGGGGCGGCCUGCGACCGUGCACGCGCCCGUGCCGUCCAUGUGAUGGGCGGUGUGUGUGCGCGACCCGAGCGUAUCCCACGCCCGGCCCUCACGCUGCCUACUGGUGGGUGGGCCCGGGUGCCGCCGCGAGGGAUGCACGACGUGGCGACCCGCCUGCUGUGCGCGGCUGCGAGGCGACCUGCGGGGCGGGAGGUGGGCAGUGCUUCGAUGACUGAGUCGGCGCAUUGCUGCGCCGCGUGUCUGGCGCUGCUUCGCACCGCGCGAUGGGGGCGUGUGGCCGGCCGGGUGUGGAGUGGGGAGUGUAAGUCGUGUUGUACGGCAGAGAAACGCACACGCAAAAGAAAAAUCUCUUCGUGUGCGUGUGCGUCACCGG